GCUGCGGGAUGCCUUCACAUGCAAGUCGAACGGCAGCACGGACUUCGGUCUGGUGGCGAGUGGCGAACGGGUGAGUAAUGUAUCGGAACGUGCCUAGUAGCGGGGGAUAACUACGCGAAAGCGUAGCUAAUACCGCAUACGCCCUACGGGGGAAAGCAGGGGAUCGCAAGACCUUGCACUAUUAGAGCGGCCGAUAUCGGAUUAGCUAGUUGGUGGGGUAAUGGCUCACCAAGGCGACGAUCCGUAGCUGGUUUGAGAGGACGACCAGCCACACUGGGACUGAGACACGGCCCAGACUCCUACGGGAGGCAGCAGUGGGGAAUUUUGGACAAUGGGGGAAACCCUGAUCCAGCCAUCCCGCGUGUGCGAUGAAGGCCUUCGGGUUGUAAAGCACUUUUGGCAGGAAAGAAACGUCAUGGGCUAAUACCCCGUGAAACUGACGGUACCUGCAGAAUAAGCACCGGCUAACUACGUGCCAGCAGCCGCGGUAAUACGUAGGGUGCAAGCGUUAAUCGGAAUUACUGGGCGUAAAGCGUGCGCAGGCGGUUCGGAAAGAAAGAUGUGAA
RNAcentral lists this ribosomal RNA (566 nucleotides) under biocide-degrading bacterium 111. RNAcentral describes it as "bacterial SSU rRNA". It matches the Rfam family "Bacterial small subunit ribosomal RNA", at positions 35 to 598 of the family's 1533-position model. The record is from RNAcentral.